RNAcentral lists this ribosomal RNA (497 nucleotides) under uncultured bacterium. Its description in RNAcentral is "partial 16S ribosomal RNA". It matches the Rfam family "Bacterial small subunit ribosomal RNA", at positions 28 to 507 of the family's 1533-position model. The record is from RNAcentral.
GAUGAACGCUGGCGGCGUGCCUAAUACAUGCAAGUCGAGCGAACAGACGAGGAGCUUGCUCCUCUGACGUUAGCGGCGGAGGGGUGAGUAACACGUGGAUAACCUACCUAUAAGACUGGGAUAACUUCGGGAAACCGGAGCUAAUACCGGAUAAUAUAUUGAACCGGAUGGUUCAAUAGUGAAAGACGGUUUUGCUGUCACUUAUAGAUGGAUCCGCGCCGCAUUAGAUAGUUGGUAAGGUAACGGCUUACCAAGGCAACGAUGCGUAGCCGACCUGAGAGGGUGAUCGGCCACACUGGAACUGAGACACGGUCCAGACUCCUACGGGAGGACGCAGUAGGGAAUCUUCCGCAAUGGGCGAAAGCCUGACGGAGCAACGCCGCGUGAGUGAUGAAGGUCUUCGGAUCGUAAAACUCUGUUAUUAGGGAAGAACAAAUGUGUAAGUAACUAUGCACGUCUUGACGGUACCUAAUCAGAAAGCCACGGCUAACUACGUG